Molecule: transfer RNA, 71 nt
Filed under: Stegodyphus mimosarum
Lineage: Eukaryota; Metazoa; Arthropoda; Arachnida; Araneae; Eresidae
Rfam family: tRNA
About the family: Transfer RNA (tRNA) molecules are approximately 80 nucleotides in length.
Source: Rfam by way of RNAcentral
GCCUUCGUGGUGUAACGGUAGCACAAUCGGCUCCCAUUUGAGAGGUCCAAGUUCGAGUCCCGACGAGGGCA